GCCUGGGUGGCUCAGUCGGUGGAGCGUCCGACUUCGGCUCAGGUCAUGAUCUCGAGGUCUGUGAGUUCAAGUCCCGCAUCGGGCU
This 85-nucleotide transfer RNA is filed under the name Felis catus (domestic cat). It matches the Rfam family "tRNA". From Rfam's summary of the family: Transfer RNA (tRNA) molecules are approximately 80 nucleotides in length. Their secondary structure includes four short double-helical elements and three loops (D, anti-codon, and T loops). Further hydrogen bonds mediate the characteristic L-shaped molecular structure. tRNAs have two regions of fundamental functional importance: the anti-codon, which is responsible for specific mRNA codon recognition, and the 3' end, to which the tRNAs corresponding amino acid is attached (by aminoacyl-tRNA synthetases). tRNAs cope with the degeneracy of the genetic code in two manners: having more than one tRNA (with a specific anti-codon) for a particular amino acid; and 'wobble' base-pairing, i.e. permitting non-standard base-pairing at the 3rd anti-codon position. The record is from Rfam by way of RNAcentral. Lineage: Eukaryota; Metazoa; Chordata; Mammalia; Carnivora; Felidae.